This 373-nucleotide transfer-messenger RNA is filed under the name Sediminibacterium goheungense. Its description in RNAcentral is "Standard tmRNA". It matches the Rfam family "transfer-messenger RNA". From Rfam's summary of the family: Bacterial tmRNA, also known as 10Sa RNA or SsrA, is named for its dual tRNA and mRNA-like properties. Its role is to liberate the mRNA from a stalled ribosome. Lineage: Bacteria; Pseudomonadati; Bacteroidota; Chitinophagia; Chitinophagales; Chitinophagaceae. The record is from RNAcentral.
GGGGUCGUACUGGUUUUGACAGCAUAUGGUACGGUUGGUGUAAGCAUGCAGUGCGUUGGAUAAUUAGCACUUUAAUCUGAAUAUUCAAACUUCAAAUGGCAAUACACAGUAUGCCAUGGCUGCCUAAUCAGUGAUUAGAUAGUCAUUUGGGCCGCCGCACAGGUUGAUCUGUUACCAGGUGCCGCCGCCGACUCAAAAUAAACACAGGUUGCUGUAACAGAAGGCUGUGACUGUUACCUAAGACCAUCCAGCUAAGUGUAUUGUUGGUUUGUUCAUGUCCGGCAGUACACCGACAAAUAAUCAUGAAAUAAGCAUGUAGAAAGCUAAUGGUAGCGAUGUUUGGACAGGGGUUCGACUCCCCUCGACUCCACAA